This 245-nucleotide ribosomal RNA is filed under the name uncultured bacterium. Its description in RNAcentral is "partial 16S ribosomal RNA". It matches the Rfam family "Bacterial small subunit ribosomal RNA", at positions 15 to 245 of the family's 1533-position model. The record is from RNAcentral.
GAUCAUGGCUCAGGAUGAACGCUAGCUACAGGCUUAACACAUGCAAGUCGAGGGGCAGCAUCAUCAAAGCUUGCUUUGAUGGAUGGCGACCGGCGCACGGGUGAGUAACACGUAUCCAACCUGCCGACAACACUGGGAUAGCCUUUCGAGAGAAGAUAAUACGGAUGGUAUAGUUUUCCCGUCCACUGGGGUGGACGUAUUAAAGAAAUUUACGGUUUGUUCGAUGGGGAGUGCGUUCCAUUAGG